GGGAUCAACAUCCCCGACGGCAAGUUCUACCUUGGAGAUGCUGGCUAUGCAUGUCGGCCGGGUAUUCUUCCACCCUUCAGGAAAACAAGGUACCAUUUCAACGAGUUCUCUGGUAGGAACUUUCCUAGGACUGCACAGGAGCUGUUUAAUCUCAGACACUCCAGCCUUAGAGUAACUGUUGAGAGGGCAUUUGGAGCUCUGAAGAAUAGGUUUAAGAUCCUGGAUCAGAAGCCAUUCCACCCAUACUCCACUCAAAUUAAGCUAGUUCUUGCUUGUUGCAUUCUGCAUAACUUGAUCCUCCAGUGAGGCUUUGAUGAACAUGUGCCUGAGGAGGAAGAGGUCGAGCCUGACGAUGUUGUUAGCUCUGGCCAUGGUGUGGAGGCAUUUGACAAUGACGCUUGGAAGAACAAAAGGUUGGAGUGGGCAGAGACAAUGUGGCUUAACAGAGGUCAGUGCAGGAUUUGA
RNAcentral lists this ribosomal RNA (465 nucleotides) under Triticum aestivum (bread wheat). RNAcentral describes it as "partial small subunit ribosomal RNA". Lineage: Eukaryota; Viridiplantae; Streptophyta; Magnoliopsida; Poales; Poaceae. The record is from RNAcentral.